This 433-nucleotide ribosomal RNA is filed under the name uncultured bacterium. RNAcentral describes it as "partial 16S ribosomal RNA". It matches the Rfam family "Bacterial small subunit ribosomal RNA", at positions 29 to 507 of the family's 1533-position model. The record is from RNAcentral.
AACGAACGCUGGCGGCAUGCCUAACACAUGCAAGUCGAACGAGACCUUCGGGUCUAGUGGCACACGGGUGCGUAACGCGUGGGAACCUGCCCUUAGGUUCGGAAUAACUCCCCGAAAGGGGUGCUAAUACCGGAUAAUGUCUUCGGACCAAAGAUUUAUCGCCUUUGGAUGGGCCCGCGUUGGAUUAGCUAGUUGGUAGGGUAAAAGCCUACCAAGGCGACGAUCCAUAGCUGGUCUGAGAGGAUGAUCAGCCACACUGGGACUGAGACACGGCCCAGACUCCUACGGGAGGCAGCAGUGGGGAAUAUUGGACAAUGGGCGAAGGCCUGAUCCAGCAAUGCCGCGUGAGUGAUGAAGGCCUUAGGGUUGUAAAGCUCUUUUACCCGGGAUGAUAAUGACAGUACCGGGAGAAUAAGCUCCGGCUAACUCCGUG